UACGUAGGGUGCAAGCGUUGUCCGGAAUUAUUGGGCGUAAAGAGCUCGUAGGCGGUCUGUCACGUCGGCUGUGAAAACCCGAGGCUCAACCUCGGGCCUGCAGUCGAUACGGGCAAACUAGAGUACUGCAGGGGAGACUGGAAUUCCUGGUGUAGCGGUGAAAUGCGCAGAUAUCAGGAGGAACACCGAUGGCGAAGGCAGGUCUCUGGGCAUUAACUGACGCUGAGGAGCGAAAGCAUGGGGAGCGAACAGG
RNAcentral lists this ribosomal RNA (253 nucleotides) under uncultured bacterium. RNAcentral's name for it is "partial 16S ribosomal RNA". It matches the Rfam family "Bacterial small subunit ribosomal RNA", at positions 524 to 776 of the family's 1533-position model. The record is from RNAcentral.